RNAcentral lists this long non-coding RNA (608 nucleotides) under Mus pahari (shrew mouse). RNAcentral's name for it is "lncRNA (MGP_PahariEiJ_G0002247.1)". Lineage: Eukaryota; Metazoa; Chordata; Mammalia; Rodentia; Muridae. The record is from RNAcentral.
UUCGGGCCCAACGAAUUCCUGGCGGAUAGGGAAAAGUACCGCGUUACUUCUCAGCGUCAAGGAUCCCCAAACUUCCUGAAGUCUGAUACCCUUGGGAGGUCUCAUCCAGGGCCUGGGAAUCCCCAAGCAGUUCCAGGAGUGAGCGAAAUCCAGAGACCGGGAGCAGGCAGGCUGUGUGGAUAGCUCAUUUGGACUUCAUGCAUCCGCCACGGCGCUAGGAAUGAAGCCGGGAUAAACUAUGCUCUGGUCCCAGAACUUAGCAGCAUCGGAGAGCAGCAGCGGGGCUUAAGACUUGCAUCUGCUGACCCAGUUAUGAGUGCCAGGGCAAAGCUAUGAAGAGAAAGUAUCAGGCACGGGUGCCCAACUUUGUCUUCUGUCUCUUCAAGAGAAGUGGGACCCGAGAAUCCCCGCCACAGCCGGCGCAGAUUGAUUUUCCCCUUCCAGGAUGGGGGACGACUGCGCAGAGCUCAAGCGCCUGGGGAGGAGGCAGUAAGUAGCGGCAGCCGGCGGUCCGGGGCCCCAGACGCUCGGCGGAGAGUCCGGCUGGAGCGCAGAGACCUGGCGCGGCUCCCUCUGUCUCAGGGUCAGGGGAGGUUCCACCCGGUAAA